UGGACAGUUUAAUGUCUCAGGAACAAAAGAAUGACAUCUUUUGAUGGAAAUAAAAGUUUUCAGUAUAUAGACACCCCAAAAAUCUAAGUGAAAAAAUGAUGUGGCAGGCUCGUCCAUUUUGCCUAAAUUCAAUUUCUGCAACUCAAAAUUAUUUUCAAUAUAUUGUGUGGCCCCCAUGUGCUUGUAUGCAUGCUUGACAACGUUGCAGCAUGCUCCUAAUGAGACGACGGAUGGUGUCUUGUGGGAUGUCCUCCCAGAUCUGUCUAAGGGCAUCAGUGAGCUCCUGUAAAGUCUGAGGAGCAACCUGGCGGCGCCUGAUGGACCGAAACAUUAUGUCUCAGAGGUGUACUAUCGGGUUUAGAUCAGGUGAUCGUGAGGGCCAUUCAAUUGUGUCAAUUCCUUCAUCCUCCAGAUACUGUCUGCAUACUCUUGCCACAUGAGGCCGGGCAUUGUCGUGGACCAGGAGGAACCCAGGACCUACUGCACCAGCAUAGGGUCUGACCAUGGGUGCAAGGAUUUCAUCCCGAUACCUAAUGGCAGUCAGACUGCCGUUCUCUAGCCUGUAGAGGUCUGUUCGUCUCUCCAUAGAAAUGCCUCCCCAGACCAUCACUGACCCCCCCCCCCGAACGGGUCAUGCUGAAUGAUGUUGCAGGCAGCAUAGCGCUCUCCUUGGCUUCUCCAGACCCUUUCACGUCUAUCACAGGUGCUCAGGGUAAACCUGCUCUGAUCUGUGAAAAGCACAGGGCGCCAGUGGCGGACUUGCCAAUUCUGGUGUUCUAUGGCAAAUGCCAAUCGAGCUCCACGGUUCUGAGCAGUGAGCACAGGGCACACUACAGGACGUCGUGCCCUGAGGCCACCCUCGUGAAGUCUGCUUCUGAUUGUUUGGGCAGACAUUCACACCAGUAGCCUGCUGGAGGUCAUUCUGUAGGGCUCGGGCAGUGCUCAACCUGUUCCUCCUUGCACAAAGCAGCAGAUAUCGGUCCUGCUGAUGGGAUGAGGACCGUCUACGACCCUGUCCAGCUCUCCUAGAGUAAUUGCCUGUCUCCUGGAAUCUCCUCCAUGCUCUGGAGAUUGUACUGAGAGACACAUCAAAUUUUCUUGCAACAGCACGCAUGGAUGUGCCAUCCUGGAGGAGUAGGACAAUCUGCGCAACUUCAGGAGGGUUAAGAAAUCGCCUCAUGCUCCCAGUCGUGAUAAUGACUCUAGCUAAAGCCAACACUUGUGGAAAAACAGUUAAAAAAGAUCAAGAGGGAGGAACUUGAAAUGGCCUACACCUGCAAAACCAGUCCUGUUUUGGGGGCCAUCUCGUUGUUGCCCCUCUAGUGCACCUGUUGUUAAUUCCAUCAACACCAAUGCAGCUGAAACUGAUUAACAACCCCCUCUGCCACGUACCUGACCAAAACCUUAUCAGAAAAGUGCAAUUGAAUUCAUGCCAUACCCUGAUAAAAAACUGUUCCUUUAAUUUUUUUGAGCAGUGUAGUUUGUGUCCUUAGGGAUGGUUUUAUUUGUAGUUCGCAAUUAUAAAUAAUAAAUACAUGGGUUAUACUUGUAUAGCGCUUUUCUACCUUCAAGGUACUCAAAGCGCUUUGACAGUAUUUCCACAUUCACCCAUUCACACACACAUUCACACACUGAUGGCGGGAGCUGCCAUGCAAGGCGCUAACCAGCAGCCAUCAGGAGCAAGGGGUGAAGUGUCUUGCCCAAGGACACAACAGACGUGACUAGGAUGGUAGAAGGUGGGGAUUGAACCCCAGUAACCAGCAACCCUCUGAUUGCUGGCACAGCCACUGUACCAACUUCGCCACGCCGUCCCCAUGUAUGUAUAAGAUUUAAAAAAAAAAUCUAUUAUUACAUUUACUGCAGUAUUUUACCAUGUGGUAUAGUAAACUAAGUACAUUUUUGCCCAACAUUCCCAUCAGCUGAAAAUGAGAAGAGCCUGGAAUCCAUGCGAAAAGCUUUACUCCUGGAUGUAAACAAUAGGAAUAACCGAGAGGCUGUGAAGUUCAAAAUGGAAGACACUUUAGCAUAUCAAAGACAUGAGGUUGUCUGUGAGUCCCUGAUGGACUGCUUUGUUUAAAGUCAGCGAGAUCAAUUCUGAAUUCAAAAGGAUCGCCGCUUCUGUCCAAGUUCCUGUCUCAGGUGAAUUUCCACUCAGCUGCGAUGACGUAGCUCUUCCGAAGGAGGGGACAGCAAAGGGCAAAACUUAAACGAAUCACUGCAGAAUUAACUAAUAGUCUGGCUAUGAGCAAACUGGAUGGGGCCAUUGAAAACAUAGCAGUUGGAAUCUACGUUGUUAAACAAGCUUCAACUAACGAAGUAGAGGACAUUGGCAUCGUUCUUGAGGAUAGUCAAGAUUUUGGACAAUUUGAAUAAUGUAGUAUCAUUGGCUGUUGCUAUGCUGUUUGGACUUAGGCAUGCCCUGAACCUCAGCUACCCUCCUGACCUCCACUACACUUUUGAGGUAAUCCAAAACAUUUGGAUGGAGCCAGAUGAAUAAACAAAGCAAUAGUCCCAAAAAAUAGGGUCUUUCUUUGAUGUUUGGGGGUAUGUGCGUGUGCAUUGGUCUGACAAAUCAAAUAGUAUAAAAAUGGGACCCGUUACCUCCCUGCUUGGCACUCAGCAUCAAGUGUUGGAAUGGGGGGUUAAAUCACCAAAAAUGAUUCCCGGGCGUGGCCACCGCUGCUGCUCAAUGCUCCCCUCACCUCCCAGGGGGUGAUCAAGGGUGAUGGGUCAAAUGCAGAGAAUAAUUUCGCCACACCUAGUGUGUCUGUGACAAUCAUGGGUACUUUUAACUUUUAACUUAAAGAUUUGCUGUUAUUUUAAAUGGUUUUUCAGGGUUAACCAUCUAUUUUCUACCGCCUGUCUUUUUCGUGGUUGACCUUCGUUUGUUAGAAAUGUUCUAACACUGCUGCCUUUUAUUUGCGGAACUGGGCACACAGUCUGGAUAUUUGUUAAAAAAGUUGUAACACUACUGCCUUUUAUUUGCGGAACUGUGCACACAGUCUGGAUAUGAACACACUCGAUGGGGCCAUUGAAAACACCACAGUUGGAAUAGUUGAACAGGCUUCAACUAAUGAAGUAGAGGACUUUGGCAUUGUUCUUAAAGGGGAAUUGCAUUUUUUUGGGUAAUGUUACCUAUCGUUCACAAUCCUUAUGUAAGACAAGAACACACAUAUUUUGGGGAGGCUGGGGUUACAUUCUAAUUUGUAGGUGGCUCCCAAUACUGCUAAUGAAAGCAAUUAAUUCUGCCUUGUGCAAGCUUGGUUCUAUAAACAGCAGUUCAUUGUCCGUAUAUUCAGGUUAAAAAAGAUAAGGUUGUGAAUCCUUAAAAUUUUUAGCUAUAUCUUACCUUUUUUUUUCUCUCUCUCUAAUUCCCCAGCCAUAAACCUUAGUUAUAUAACUUGGUACGUGACACAUGGUAACUGUUAGUAUGCUAACGUUAGCAUGUUAGCAUGCUGAUACUUGGCCCCAUCUUGAAUGUAUGCCAACAUCUCAUAUUAGCAUGCAAAUGUUAGCGUGUUAACGUUUGAGGCUAACUCAGUAGCUCAUUUUGUACUCUUACACCUAAAACUCACGGAUUUAGACACUGCACCAUCUUAAAAGUACGCCCGGCUUUCACCGACCCUAGGCUCGAGGUUCAGGGCACAAAUAGCAGGCCCAUCAAAAUUUUGGCUACAAUUUGUGUCAUUUCCAAUUAGCCCACGUACAGUACGCAGAGAGCUUCAUGGAAUGGGUUUCCAUGGCCGAUCAGCUGCAUCUAAGGCAUACGUCACGAAGUCCAAUGCAAAGUGUCGAAUGCAAUGGUGUAAAGCACGUCGCCACUGGACUCUAGAGCAGUAGAGACGUGUUCUCUGGACUGAUGAAUCACGCUUUUCCAUCUGGCGAUCUGAUGGACGAGUUUGGGUUUGGAGGUUGCCAGGAGAACGAUACGUUUCGGGCUGCAGUGUGUCGAGUGUGAAAUUUGGUGGAAGAGGAAUUAUGUUGUGGGGUUGUUUUUUCAGGUGUUGUGCUUGGCCCCUUAGUUCCAGUGAAAGGAACUUUAAAUGCUCCAGGAUACCAAAACACUUCGGACAAUUCCAUGCUCCCAACCUUGUGGGAACAGUUUGGAGCGGGGGCCUUCCUCUUCCAACAUGACUGUGCACCAAUGCACAAAGCAAAGUCCAUAAAUACAUGGAUGACAGAGUCUGGUGUGGAUGAACUUGACUGGCCUGCACAGAGUCCUUACCUGAACCCGAUAGAACACCUUUGGGAUGAAUUAGAACAGAGACUGCACUUUUGGAAGAAUGGUCGAAAAUUCCUAUAAACACAUUCCGUAACCUUGUGGACAGUCUUCCCAGAAGAGUUGAAGCUGUAAUAGCUGCAAAAGGUAGACCAACAUCAUAUUGAACCCUAUGGGUUAGGAAUGGGAUGGCACUUCAAGUUCAUAUAUGAGUCAAGGCAGGUGGCCAAAUACUUUUGGCAAUAAAGUGUAUGUUUAAUGUACCGUAAGAUUUUGUAUAAA
Molecule: non-coding RNA, 4501 nt
Organism: Nerophis lumbriciformis (worm pipefish)
Lineage: Eukaryota; Metazoa; Chordata; Actinopteri; Syngnathiformes; Syngnathidae
Source: RefSeq, a predicted model, not a curated record